Molecule: ribosomal RNA, 869 nt
Filed under: uncultured bacterium
Lineage: Bacteria
Description: bacterial SSU rRNA
Rfam family: Bacterial small subunit ribosomal RNA
Source: RNAcentral
GCAAGUCGAACGGCAGCAUGAUCUAGCUUGCUAGAUUGAUGGCGAGUGGCGAACGGGUGAGUAAUACAUCGGAACGUGCCCUGUAGUGGGGGAUAACUAGUCGAAAGAUUAGCUAAUACCGCAUACGACCUGAGGGUGAAAGUGGGGGACCGCAAGGCCUCAUGCUAUAGGAGCGGCCGAUGUCUGAUUAGCUAGUUGGUGGGGUAAAGGCCCACCAAGGCGACGAUCAGUAGCUGGUCUGAGAGGACGAUCAGCCACACUGGGACUGAGACACGGCCCAGACUCCUACGGGAGGCAGCAGUGGGGAAUUUUGGACAAUGGGCGAAAGCCUGAUCCAGCAAUGCCGCGUGUGUGAAGAAGGCCUUCGGGUUGUAAAGCACUUUUGUCCGGAAAGAAAUGGCUCUGGUUAAUACCUGGGGUCGAUGACGGUACCGGAAGAAUAAGGACCGGCUAACUACGUGCCAGCAGCCGCGGUAAUACGUAGGGUCCAAGCGCUAAUCGGAAUUACUGGGCGUAAAGCGUGCGCAGGCGGUUGUGCAAGACCGAUGUGAAAUCCCCGAGCUUAACUUGGGAAUUGCAUUGGUGACUGCACGGCUAGAGUGUGUCAGAGGGGGGUAGAAUUCCACGUGUAGCAGUGAAAUGCGUAGAGAUGUGGAGGAAUACCGAUGGCAAAGGCAGCCCCCUGGGAUAACACUGACGCUCAUGCACGAAAGCGUGGGGAGCAAACAGGAUUAGAUACCCUGGUAGUCCACGCCCUAAACGAUGUCAACUAGUUGUUGGGGAUUCAUUUCCUUAGUAACGUAGCUAACGCGUGAAGUUGACCGCCUGGGGAGUACGGUCGCAAGAUUAAAACUCAAAGGAAUUGACGG